Non-coding RNA from Misgurnus anguillicaudatus (oriental weatherfish), 1129 nucleotides. NCBI's taxonomy places the organism in Eukaryota, Metazoa, Chordata, Actinopteri, Cypriniformes, Cobitidae. The record is from RefSeq and is a predicted model, not a curated record.
AAGUCACGUGACUUUCAAGCUACCGGCCGUGAGAACAAAAAACAUGGCGGACAUUCUCUCAUUUUUAGUGGAAAAAUCUAUAUUUUGAGUUAGUUUCUGAAUAAAAAGAAGUUUUGAUUACAUUUCUAGCGAGAAAUAUAUACUUUAUUUUCAUAAUAUUCACUCAGUGAAUUUACAUAAUCAUCGCUUGCUCGAUUUUACACAGAUUUUUCAGAUCUCGCCAGAAUAAUGUGAAACUGAUACGUUUUGGUUGCUAUGGACACUGCCAGGGCUCGUCACAUGACGUCUUUUAAAGACUUUAUUAAAACCGCGUUCAGCUACAGGUAAAACAACAUUCAGAGGUGAUUUUAACAACGCUCCACGGCGCGUGAGAGUAAGCAUUUUAAGCGUUUUCUGAUCAUGUAGGUAAGUGCUUUUAUUAGACGUGAUGCAUGCUGGGUGGGAAAUUAUUUUUUAUCAAAGACUCGUUGAUGGUAAUUAAUAUAGAUAUGAAUAUACAUUUUGCAACCCUGUAUCACAUGAAAUACGUUCUGAGGAAACUAUUUUGCAAAUCGCAAUUACGUUACAUGCCAACAUAUAAGCAGUGCUAUUACGUUGGUCCUUAACCUAAUAUGACCCGUCGCCAUGGACACAAGGGGUCGGAUAUCUAAAGUUAAAUAUUUUUAACUUACGCGUGAAAUGGUUGAUUUUAAAAAUAUAUAUAUUCUAAGUAAACAACAACAGCCCAGGUUUAGUAAACAUUUUUUUAUUGAAACUAUAAAUAAAUAUUCUGCAUCCAUUUUAGGUGUGCCACUGUGGGUGGCUCCCGCACACCCCCGUGGCUACGCCCCUGCCGUGACCCAAAUCUCGUUCUCACAUCAUCGCGAUGUUUAUCAUCUAUUUACAAACGUAGCCAGUCGCCACAUCUUUAUUAGCCUAUCCCCUGUAUGUCAUCGAUGCGCUACUUCAAAGAUGUGAGGAAAAGAACAUACACCUGCGAGUAGUCUGUUACAUUGCCUGUGUUAUUGCCUCACAUUUGCAGAUCAAGUACAGUACCAGAUGGCUUGAUGGGUUUGGGCUCACAGACGGGGAAGGAAUGGAAAGGCUGUGGUCUUUCCUCCAAAGAUUUGCCAGAGUCACAAAGGAGAUG